Molecule: long non-coding RNA, 5841 nt
Filed under: Homo sapiens (human)
Lineage: Eukaryota; Metazoa; Chordata; Mammalia; Primates; Hominidae
Description: HSALNT0291741
Source: RNAcentral
GUGCUAAGCUUAGUGCUCUCUCUCCCACCACCAGUGGCAGAGCCACUGUGUGGGGAGAAACACCUUUUUAUCUUGGAGAGGGGCAGCCUUGUUUCUGAGGACAGAUGGGAGCAAAACGGGACAGGUAGGAAGUUUCGUGGUUUCUCGUGUCGCUUCUCCAAAAUAGCCACACUGCUGCCUCCCACUUCCUGCCUGACUCGGCUGGGGUAGAUUUUCUCCUUUAGAGGAUUUGUGUUCUGUGUAUUCCCAGGGAGGCUCGAAGGGAUCUGUUGCCAAAAACAUGCUUGACACUGAAGCCCUGGAGCUUGGCACUGAGGGCCCCAGCUCAGGUUUGGACCACUGGGUUUGCAUCCGGGCUCUGUCUCAUACUGGCUGCGUGACCUUGGGCAAAUGACUUCACUUCUCUGUGCCUCAUCAGUAGGAUGGAGAUAACAACUCUAGCUAUAUCCAGCAGUUACUCUGCAGAUUAAAUGAAUAUGUGUAAAGGGCACAGCCCAGUGUGGGCACAUAGCAACUCUUAAUGAAUCUCUUAAUAAAAAACAGCAAUGUUGUUGUUGAUCUCCAUCCCCUACCUGGAAAACUGUACCAGCCUCCCAGCCACCUUCCCUUUCCCCUGGCUUGCCUGCUCCAGCACAUCCCAGCAUGAUCCGAGAGUGAUAGAAACGUGAAACACAAAUCUGACCCUGCUAUCUGCUGCUUAAAAUCCACCCAUAGCUUCCAGCGUCUAUGGCAGGAAUGAGCAUUCUUUUGCUCUGAAUGGCCAGAUAGUAUUUGAAGCUUUGCCGGGCAUAUAGUCUCUCUUGACUUUGUCAUUGCAGCCUGGAAGCAACCACAGAUAAUAUGUAAAAAAUGGGCGUGGUUGUGUUCCAGUAAAAUUUUAUGUACGAAAACAGGCAGCCGGCUGGAUUUGCCAACCCUUGACCUACAGGAUGAAUCCAGACCCUUAGCUCAGCAUUCCCAGUUCAGCCUGUUCCCGUUAUCUCCAUCCUUCUUCCUCCCCCACCCCUGCUCUUGUGCAGAACAUGUCACACUUUAAUCCUUUGCGUGUGCUGCUCCCUCUUUCUGAGUUUUCCUUCCCUGCCCCCUGAGUGCCCCUUCCCCAUGGCAUUAGGACCUUUACUCUGGGAUUCUGUGGUACCCUGUCUUUAUUUCUACCCUGGUCAUAUAUGCAAGUUCCAUCUGUCUCUCCAUGAGAGGGGCUCCCCUCUAGGCAGGGAUUCGGCCUUCCUCUUCUGUACACCCAGCAGGGUGCUGCUGUAUAGGUUUCUGCAGGUGCUCAGUAAGCAUUUGUUAUUGAACCCAAGGAUCUGCAAGAUGGAUGGUUGGCCUCAGGGAGCUCACAGUCAGCUUAGAAAGCUAGGAUAUGAGCCAGUCAAAAGCCAGCCAGCAAUCCAGGCAGGAAAUGAUGAUGGUCUGUGUGUUUGGCCCUAACUGAUGUCAAGUGGAGAUUCUGAGCUUGAUAGAGGAAGGUGAAGGCAUUUGAGUUGGAUGUUGCAGGGUGGGAAAGAGACUUGCAGAGAUAGGGAGGUCAGGAAGUCUUUCCAAGUUGGGGAAGUCAUAAGAGAAGAGCAGGGCUGACCAGGCCUGGGGGCUUAGGCCUGUAAUCCCAGCUACUUGGGAGGCUGAGGCAGGAGGAUCACCUGAGCCGGAGAGUUUGAGACUAGAAUGGGCAAGGUAGUGAGACCUCAUCUCAAAAACUAGAAAAAUAAAAAAUUUAGCCAGAUGUGGUGGUCAUACUCCUGUAGUCCUAAAUAUUGAGACUGAAGCGGGUGGAUGGCUUGAGCCCAGGAGACGGAGGCUGCAGUGAGCUGUGAUUAUACCACUGCACUGCAGCCUGAGGGACACAGCAAGACCCUGUCUCGAAAAACAAAACAAAACAAAAGAAGAAGAAGAGCAGGCUCAUUGCUGAGCUCAGGGUGGGGAGUGGACAGAGCAGUCUGGCCACGGCUGCAGGCCCUCCCUUGGGAGACAGAGGGGGCCAAUGCUGGAAAGCAGGGCGAAGUUUUCAUCAAUGAGUUGGGGGUGGUGAGGAAGCUUAGACUUUAUCCUGUGAGCCAGAAUUUCUCCAUGUGUGUCCACAUACCCUCCCAUAACAGAAUUACCUUGAGUUUCUUUAAAAUGCAGAUUCCAGGGCUCUGUCCCAUACUGGGGGCCAGGAGGCUGAAGGGGGUCAAGGCCGUGGUCUGUGGGAGGAAGAGGCUGCACCAUGGCUAUGGGUGCACCACAAGUAUUAUUCAGACUGGUGUCACCUGUAGGAAGCCGGGUGAUGCCUUUCCCAGCUGGACUGGGGACAGGUGAGGCGGGAAUGAAUAAUCCUCCCAAAGGGCAAUUGGGAACACCCAAGCUCAAACGUGGCAAGUGACUUGCCCAGGGUCACACUGUCAAUUACUUGCAGGUGUGGGGCUGACCAGUUAUGGAACAGGCUUCCUCUCCCAAUCUCAGGGCCUCGGGUGGUCCUCGAGGUGCCGCAGGUGGAAGAAGAACAGGCCAAGGCAAAUGCCUCCGGUACCCAGCACUGCCUGGUGCACAGUAGUGGUUGAUCAGUAAUUGUUGAACCAAUCAGGGUUUCUGUUUGCUUGAAGGAAAGGGUAGGAGUGGAGGGUGAGUGACUGGGUGAAUGGGUGCUAUGAGGACAAAGGAGAGUGGAGUUUAGAGGUAGCACUAGUGUCGCAAGCCUGAAGGUUUACCAGAGACAGAGGGGUGAAAAGAUGAGUGGGGCACUAAGCAUAUUGAAUGUGAGAGCUGCUGGAAAUGCAGGAUUGGGGCGUGCUGGGUGGGGCAGGUGAUGUGUGCAGCUGUGGAAGCUGCUACCAAGUCAAGGGCUCUUUUGUAAAAGAAGACACUGAACUAAAAGAUGCUUAGAAGCCUGUCCAGUUCCAAAGCCAUUGGCAUCUUCUCUAAUUAAAGAGUGAACUCCAGUUUCUUAUGAUGUGGGAGUAGAAUUUGGCUGGUCUUUAAUAUCUCACAAAGGGUCUCUUUCUCAGGAAGGCAUGUGUGUGAUUUGGGAGAGGUGAAGAUGAGAAGUCUGAAUCCUACCUACUUGGUUCUCUCCCGUGCAUCAUGGAUGUCAGGAAACACUGUUGAUAUCUCCUGUGCACUGUCAAUGUCCCUCUCUGUGUGUCUUUGAAUGGGGAGCAAGGGGCAUAAGCCAGAUCACCCCAGGCGGUGCCGCACUUUAAGAGGUAUCUGGACCAGCCCUCAGGAGCAUGCAGCCCUUGUCAGAGGAACUUUUGAAGAAACUGGGUAACAGAAUACUUGAGAGACAGACUUGCUGUCCUCAACCACCCCAGGGGUUGUCUGGAGAAAAAGGGUCAGAGAUGUUCUGUGUGGUCCUCGGGACAGAAUCAAAACCAAAAUCUCAAAGUACAUCCUACCCUGCCUUUAACUGAACGGGAUAGUCUGCUGUUUGCAAAAAUAUACAUGCCAAGACACGUCCUUUGUGCAGGUGGGGAACAAAGAUGUUGGCUGGGGGCUUAAUUCUACAGCACUGCCCAUUGCCCUGCUGUGGCAUUCAUCAGUGGAGCCCACAUGGUUCCACUUGGGGUGCUCUAAGUUUCCUCCUAGACCCAUGGGUUUGUAUGAGCCAUGCCAACCAUGACACCAUGACCUGUCUGAAAUGGACUCCACCUUGGUCAGAAUGGAACCAUCUAAGCCCUUGGGACUUGCACCCUCUGUUGAGCUUUGAGAUCAUCUCAGAAAUGGUACUCUCCCUGCAGACUCAGAGCCUUUAGACUCAGGGCUGGUGGCCCUUGACACGCCUCUCUCACCACCAGAUAAUUAUAUUUUCAGGCAGCUGUUCCUUGGGGAGGAAUAUUGAGUGCCGUCCCAUGUGCUAUCUGUUUCUGACCAUUCUGAUUCUGCUGCUGACCUCAGACUGCCCAUGUUGUGGCUACCUCUCCCAUCUGAGUCCCUGCACUGCCCAGUCACAGACAUCUGCUGCCGGACGCCACACUGCCCUGAUGGCUCAGAGCGGCCAGCUCCAACCUGCGUGAUCUCACAGGCAUUGUGGCCUGGGCGUCAGGGUGCUGUGAGAAACACCAGGAAACACUGAUAUUUUUAGUGCAAAUGAUGAAAAACGUUAUGCUAAGUGAAAGAAGCCAGACACAAAAGGACAUAUGGCGGGUGAUUCCAUUUUUAUGAAAUGUCCAGAUAAGGCAAAUUUAUAGAGAUGGAAACUAGAUGAAUUAGUGGCUGCCAGGGGCUGGAGGGAAGGGAAUGUGGAGUGAUUGCUAAUGGGUACAGGAUUUCUUUUCAGAGUGAUACAUGUGUUCUGGAAUUACAUCAUUGGGAUGGUUGCACAACCCUGUGAAUUUUAUGGUCCCUUGGAGCUUCCUUGGGCGCUUCCUGGAAGGAGGUGCUGCAUUCACCCUGCCAGGGCCAGGUUGGGACAAUGAGAGGCAGAGACUGCCCCAUUUCUGUGUGGCAAACAAGAAACAUGGUUUAUCGGUUCUUCUGAGGCUUCAGUUGUACCUCAGACCCUAAAGGGCCCAGCUCUGCCCAUCUCUUCCAUGCAAAGAUGAAGGGAGGGGACAGGGGCUGGCACUGUGGUACCCUGAAGGAGGCACUUAGGACGGUGAUGAUUCUAGGCCCUGAUGAAUUCAUUUUUUAAGCCAGCAAACCCUCCUGGUCCCCUGAGUUCAGGAUACCGUAUUUGUCCAAGCAAAGGAUAGCUCAGGAAUACAGAAAUGAGUCUGAUCCUAGGCAGGACUCAGGGAACACCAUGAAUCCUUGAGAACCAUGGGACGGAGAAUCAGAGUCCUGAGCUGUGGAUCCAGCCCAGCCACUUUCCACCUCUCUGAACCUCUGUUUCCUCAUCUGCAAAACGAAGUGAUAAGCCCCUUCCCAGAGGGCUGUUUUGAGGAAAUUCUUAGUUAUGAAGUAUGUUAGACAUUGUGUUUGCAGUCUUAGGGGGCAGUUGGAGCCAUGAACAGGAGGUCUGCAAGGAGGAACUUGGGUGAAAUUAAAUGAGACAGUGGCUACAGGGGCCUUUGGUGAGCUGUAGUCACUGCACUAACGUAAGGCGGCAUUGUUGGGAUUAUGAUCCAUCUGAAACAGGGGUGUAAACACCGGCCAGGGGAAGGCAGAAUGGGUUCUGUCUGAGAUGGAAAGAGGUCCCAGGGAGAAACUGGCAGUGGUGACAAGAAGGAUUUGGCUGAACAAAGAAGGGAAGAUGGGGGACCGGGCAGCAGGCCAAGGGAGGGGCUUGAACCCUGGCAGGAGGCAGAAAGGGUGAGAGGAGCUGGGGCACAGUGUGGGAUUUUCAGAGUUCACCUGGUUGAAUGGAAGAAAGCCUGUAUGAACUGCAAGAGCUUAUUUUUUGGAAAUGCAGCCCCACGAAAUCAUACUUGACAACAUCGUCUUGUUCAGGGAGCACAGAGUGGGAGCUUGGGGGGUCUCAGGGCAAGUUUAAGAAGGCUGAGGAUGAUGACUGCUCCCCUCAGGCACACAAACAGUACAUUCCCUGAGUGCUUUUGAGAGCUCAGAUGUUGUCAAAAAAGGAAGAUCUGGAGGUCAGAUCAGGACCUAGAGUGCGAAUGCCUCACAAGAAAUUGCGCUCGGAAUUCAAAACAUCUAGAAUAAUGUUUGACCAAGCGUCUUGGCCUAUGGCAUAGCCAACUUGACACAAAAUUAACCAUCACUGGUGGGUUUAAAGGACAUUGAGGAGUUUGCCACAUGUCUAGGAGGGAAAGGGCAUUUCAGCCAUUGGGAACGGCGUGUGUUCUGAGAAUUCUCCAGCUCCAUGUGGCUGGAACACACAGAUGGAGGGAAUGAGAGAGGUGAGGCCUCCAGAGCCAUGCCGUGGGGCCUAAACUAGUGGGGAGGCUGAAGGGUCUUAAAAAG